Molecule: long non-coding RNA, 786 nt
Filed under: Erythranthe guttata (spotted monkey flower)
Lineage: Eukaryota; Viridiplantae; Streptophyta; Magnoliopsida; Lamiales; Phrymaceae
Description: long non-coding RNA (EGUT_LNC003185)
Source: RNAcentral
GCAAUAUUCGAACUAAUCUGACAUUUCGGAGGAUUCAAGAAAAGCUUUACAAACAUAUAUAUAUUCAACAGAUAAUAAUAAUACUAAAUUACUGCUGAAACUGAAAAUCGAAACUCUUCUACUUUAACAUUAUUUUUUUUUGUUUUGUUUUCCUAACCGAAAUUUAAUUAAGAUCUUGGUAUACAAAAUUACCAGUAGAUCACUUACAAGAGAGAGAGAGAGAGAGAGAGAGAGAGAGAGAGAGAGAGAGAGAGAGAGAGAGAGAGAGAGAGAGAGAGAGAGAGAGAGAGAGAGAGAGAGAGAGAGAGAGAGAGAGAGAGAGAGAGAGAGAGAGAGAGAACUAUGAUCUAUCCAUUCCAUCUGGCACUUCAGGAAUCUCAACGAUGCUGUCCAAAGAUGGUUUCCAAUUAACAACAACGUUAAUUUUCUGUCUGCUUCGUUGCAACUCUAUCUCUCCCAACAAAUCCUCAAUUCUUUUCACUUCUUUAUUUUGCAGCUCCGUCAUCAGCCAAUUCAAUUCCUCCUUUGUCAGCAUAAUCUUGAUUCUCGUGUUGUUUCCACCACUACUCUUUUCUUCUUCUUCUUUUUCUUCUUCAUCCUUGAUAUUUUCUGGGAUUUUUUUGCAUGCAGUUUCUAUGCAGUUCCCCAUGCUACAGUUCUCUCUUUUUUGUUGCUAACUGUGAAAUUGGAUCCAGAAAGUAUGGGGGAAAGAAGAAGCUGAUAAUAAUUGAGCAGUAGAGAGUGGUUAACAAUUGCAUGUGAGUGUGGGGCUCAUCCCCCUUUAAU